RNAcentral lists this non-coding RNA (71 nucleotides) under Hahella chejuensis KCTC 2396. Lineage: Bacteria; Pseudomonadati; Pseudomonadota; Gammaproteobacteria; Oceanospirillales; Hahellaceae. The record is from RNAcentral.
GAAUUAGCCAGCGGUUGGCUAGUCACUGACGAUAAUUGGAGCGUUUGGUUUUCGUCAGUGUGAUUGCUACA